Molecule: long non-coding RNA, 1420 nt
Organism: Etheostoma cragini (Arkansas darter)
Lineage: Eukaryota; Metazoa; Chordata; Actinopteri; Perciformes; Percidae
Exons: 2
Source: RefSeq, a predicted model, not a curated record
CUUUAAACCUGCAUUCUGUCUAAAUUCCUGCAGGGGGAGACUCCUUAAACCUGCAUUCUAUCUGAAUUCCAGCAGGGGGAGACUCCUUAAACCUGCAUUCUGUCUAAAUUCCUACAGGGGGAAACUCCUUAAAACUGCAUUCUGUCUAAAUUCCUGCAGGGGGAGACUUCUUAAACCUGCAUUGUGUCUAAAUUCCUGCAGGGGGAAACUCCUUAAACCUGCAUUCUAUCUGAAUUCCAGCAGGGGGAGACACCAUUAAUAUUACCAGUCUAUGGUGUGAAGCAACACACGCAACAAGAGCUUUGAUUCUGUUCAGAAAUACUACUUGAAAUACUGCGUCCCUAUCACAGCCAGGGAGUGGUCCGGACAAUAACUAGGAGACAAGCUUUGUUAGCAGCUGUUUCAAGGCACUGGUCAUCAAGUCGUCACCACUCACUUAUUGAUUUACUUUUAAUGCCACUUGAUCCAAAAAAAAAAAUAACCUGUGUUAUUACAUUUCCAAAGGUGCUACAGAAGAUGCCUCUUAACUUCAAUGGCAUUUGGUGUUUUAUUGAGUAAAUGAAGAGCAGGGGGAUAUUUUGCAUACUGUAGUAGUUGUAAACAAUGGGCUUUGUAAGUUUGAUUUGCUGCAUCUAGACACUGUCCAUGCUUACACUGGGUAAACAUGUCUGUUCUUAUAGAGACCUGUACUUAGAUUCAGUGCGUGCCUAAGAAGUCACACUUUCUCGACGUUUUAUGAUGUUUGUUACGUUUUGUCCUGUGUAAUCUGUAAGACAUUAAGACAUCCGUGCAAGAAAAAAAAAUUCACAGUGUGCUCAUGUUUUUGCAUGCAUUUAGUUUGGUAUUUUGAGACUGUUUGACAUUGUAAAAAAAAAGUCUGAAUGCUGAUUUGAAUGGGACCGUGACAAAUGUGUCUACUGCAUUUCAGGCAGUUUGAGAUUUAGUGUAUCCCAUGAAACAUAAUAUUUAUAAAUGGCCAAUUCUUAUUGUUAAAUCCCCCCCUAAUAUUUAGUUGUUGAAACACUGGAUUUUAAGACCUAGUAAUUACCACAUGGCACUUCAGCAAAUAAGAGAAGGGAAACUGGUAGAGUGUGUAGUAUUGGAUUGACUUUUAAGACAGCUGGUCUGCAAUGUAUAGUGUUCUAUUGUAGUAGUUUCAGGUCCACUAUUUCCAACAGGAACUAUUUUCGAUCAAAGGUAUGCUUUAUUUCUAAGUGUAGACUCCUGCAGCUUAGUUGCGAUGGCUGGGACUCCAGAUUCCUCUCACAACACGGCGUUGUGCUGUUACCUUUUUUUUUUUUAAACCUCAAAAUAUCGUCUAACAGGUUUAGCAGGUUUCACUUAAAGGGAAUGACGUGUUUUACCCUCAACCAUCAUCAUUGCCGUCAGAACUGUUCUCCUCUCCCUGACUCAUUAGUUU